UGAAACCUAAAAGACCACACAAAAUGAGAAAAACUAAUAAGUACAUUAUUCUUGAUUUCAUCCAUAACACAGUACUAAAUCCAUUUGUUGGAAUACAAUAUUUUGUCACUUUUCCAUAAAGCUUUCAUGAUAAAACUUUUUGCUUCAUAUACUUUUUUCAAUGCCUAGAAAAAGUUAUUCUCACCUUUCCAUGAAGAAAAAUCACUCACCAAUUUUUCCUUGAGGAAGAUGGUAAACUUUUCCCCAAUAAAUAUAUAGACAACAUUUUGUAAGAAUCAACUCUGCAGCUUUUGGUGAGCAUAUUGAUAUAGUUAACCUAUCAAUAUGCUUUUCUUCACAGAAGGUUUUAAAAGUGUAAUGGCAGGAAGAAAUUCAGACAUUAUAUGUCAGGUAAUGGAAAGUGAAGGUCUCCCCCCAAAAUAUUUAUCUGAAAAAGGAUAUACAGUGUUCUUAAGUAGAAAUGGUGACGGAGUUUAGCAGAUUAUUCAUUACCAGGCAGAUCAACAACGAGAGAAUGGCUUCUUGGGCCCUCCAUCCAACCCGAAGAAGAUCGAUUUUCAGUUGCAUAUUGGAGCUCCGUCGCCGGAAUAUUGCAUGAUAUAUAUAUAUAGGAGUAUUGUUGGGAGAUGAUUUUCAGGUAAUAGGAACUAAACACCCUAACCCUUCGGGCCGUAGGCCGGGGCAUUAUUACAUAUCAUUUAUUUGGAUUUUUACAUAGCAUUUUUAUUGAUCUGUGCUUUGAACGAAAUAAUGUAGCUGCUUUCAGGUAUAAUAUGAGAUGAAAGGCAGAUAGUAUAUGUAAGAAAUAGAUUCAGGGUCGAGGGCCUGCUCAGUUUCCACUAGUACUUGAUUCCAACUUACGUACUGUUACCAAUACCCCUAGUGAAAAUGCCAAGAUGGCUGUCAUAACAAUUCCCUUAUUUCUUUGAAGCAUCUCCACAACAUUUUCCGAAUUUGUAUUCUUCAAAUCCUUUGUGAUCUGAUCUUGAUCACAGAACCAUACAUUUCUCUUUUCGUCUACCACUUGCUUUGGGACAGUGACAGAGAGAAUCCCACCACUGAAUUUUCCAGUGGUCUUAUCGAUGUCCGCAUUUUUUGGCACUUCAAAGGUUUUCUCAACAUGAACAGUUUUUUCUUCAUGAACUUUCCUUUCUCCACUGAGCACCAAGUCACCAGAGCAAGUAACCUGAAGCUUAAGCUCAUCCUUCUUGAAACCUAAAAGACCACACAAAAUGAGAAAAACGAAGUACAUUAUUCUUGAUUUCAUCCAUAACACAUUACUAAAUCCCCACUGGUUGGAAUACAAUAUUUUGCCACUCUUCCAUAAAGUUCCAUGAUAAAAUUUUCGUGCUUCAUAUACUUUUUCAAUGCCUAGAAAAAGUUAUUCCCACCUUUCCAUGAGGAAAAAUCUCUCGCCAAUUUUUCUUUGAGGAAGAUGCAAAACUUUUCCGCAAUAAAUAAAUAGACAACAUUUUGUAAGAAUCAACUAUGCAGCUUUUGGUGAGCAUAUUGAUAUAGUUAACCUAUCAAUAUGCUUUUCUUCACAGAAGGUUUUGAAAGUGUAAUGGCAGGAAGAAAUUAAGACAUUAUAUGUCAGGUAAUGGAAAUGAAGGUCUUCCCCAAAAAUAUUCACAUGAAGCACUUUUAUCUGAAAACGAAUAUACAGUGUUAUUUUUAAGAUCAUGGUGACAGAGUUUAGCAGAUUCAUUACCAGGCAGAUCAACAGCGAGAGAAUGGCUUCUUGGGCCCUCCAUCCAACACGAAGAAGGUACAAAUUCCUCAACUACUGGGUGUGAGCAUCUUCUCCCUCCACACGGCCUUGUAUCUCUAACAUUUGCCAUAGAUGAAAAGCUGAACUUUGUUAAAGAUGAUGAAUGUUGAUGAGGUGAUGCUUUGUAAUGUAAUUAGUUGCAGUCUUAUUUAUUUGAAAAUGAUGAGCUAA
Long non-coding RNA from Carya illinoinensis, 1942 nucleotides. RefSeq lists it as uncharacterized. The transcript is spliced from 2 exons. NCBI's taxonomy places the organism in Eukaryota, Viridiplantae, Streptophyta, Magnoliopsida, Fagales, Juglandaceae. The record is from RefSeq and is a predicted model, not a curated record.